Molecule: ribosomal RNA, 468 nt
Filed under: uncultured bacterium
Lineage: Bacteria
Description: partial 16S ribosomal RNA
Rfam family: Bacterial small subunit ribosomal RNA
Source: RNAcentral
GAUGAACGCUGGCGGCGUGCUUAACACAUGCAAGUCGAACGGAAAGGCCGAAGCUUGCUUCGGUACUCGAGUGGCGAACGGGUGAGUAACACGUGGGUGAUCUGCCCUGUACUUCGGGAUAAGCUUGGGAAACUGGGUCUAAUACCGGAUAUGACGAUCUCUUGGAUGGGGUUGUGGAAAGCUUUUGCGGUAUGGGAUGAGCUCGCGGCCUAUCAGCUUGUUGGUGGGGUAAUGGCCUACCGAGGCGUCGACGGGUAGCCGGCCUGAGAGGGUGUACGGCCACAUUGGGACUGAGAUACGGCCCAGACUCCUACGGGAGGCAGCAGUGGGGAAUAUUGCACAAUGGGCGCAAGCCUGAUGCAGCGACGCCGCGUGGGGGAUGACGGCCUUCGGGUUGUAAACUCCUUUCGCAAUCGACGAAGCCUUUUGGUGACGGUAGGUUGAGAAGAAGCACCGGCUAACUACGUG